RNAcentral lists this non-coding RNA (29 nucleotides) under Bombyx mori (domestic silkworm). Lineage: Eukaryota; Metazoa; Arthropoda; Insecta; Lepidoptera; Bombycidae. The record is from RNAcentral.
UCAAAGCUGCAAAAGUUGAACUGCGUGUU